Molecule: ribosomal RNA, 533 nt
Filed under: Pseudomonas putida
Lineage: Bacteria; Pseudomonadati; Pseudomonadota; Gammaproteobacteria; Pseudomonadales; Pseudomonadaceae
Description: bacterial SSU rRNA
Rfam family: Bacterial small subunit ribosomal RNA
Source: RNAcentral
UGAGUAAUGCCUAGGAAUCUGCCUGGUAGUGGGGGACAACGUCUCGAAAGGGACGCUAAUACCGCAUACGUCCUACGGGAGAAAGCAGGGGACCUUCGGGCCUUGCGCUAUCAGAUGAGCCUAGGUCGGAUUAGCUAGUUGGUGAGGUAAUGGCUCACCAAGGCGACGAUCCGUAACUGGUCUGAGAGGAUGAUCAGUCACACUGGAACUGAGACACGGUCCAGACUCCUACGGGAGGCAGCAGUGGGGAAUAUUGGACAAUGGGCGAAAGCCUGAUCCAGCCAUGCCGCGUGUGUGAAGAAGGUCUUCGGAUUGUAAAGCACUUUAAGUUGGGAGGAAGGGUUGUAGAUUAAUACUCUGCAAUUUUGACGUUACCGACAGAAUAAGCACCGGCUAACUCUGUGCCAGCAGCCGCGGUAAUACAGAGGGUGCAAGCGUUAAUCGGAAUUACUGGGCGUAAAGCGCGCGUAGGUGGUUUGUUAAGUUGGAUGUGAAAGCCCCGGGCUCAACCUGGGAACUGCAUUCAAAACUGA